AGCGGACCUCAUAAAGUGCGUCGUAGUCCGGAUUGGAGUCUGCAACUCGACUCCAUGAAGUCGGAAUCGCUAGUAAUCGUGGAUCAGAAUGCCACGGUGAAUACGUUCCCGGGCCUUGUACACACCGCCCGUCACACCAUGGGAGUGGGUUGCAAAAGAAGUAGGUAGCUUAACCUUCGGGAGGGCGCUUACCACUUUGUGAUUCAUGACUGGGGUGAAGUCGUAACAAGGUAACCGUAGGGGAACCUGCGGUUGGAUCACCUCCUUA
RNAcentral lists this ribosomal RNA (268 nucleotides) under Escherichia coli. Its description in RNAcentral is "partial 16S ribosomal RNA". It matches the Rfam family "Bacterial small subunit ribosomal RNA", at positions 1266 to 1533 of the family's 1533-position model. Lineage: Bacteria; Pseudomonadati; Pseudomonadota; Gammaproteobacteria; Enterobacterales; Enterobacteriaceae. The record is from RNAcentral. RNAcentral also lists the same sequence under 2 other names.